Molecule: long non-coding RNA, 208 nt
Filed under: Bos taurus (domestic cattle)
Lineage: Eukaryota; Metazoa; Chordata; Mammalia; Artiodactyla; Bovidae
Description: long non-coding RNA NONBTAT022137
Source: RNAcentral
CUGUCAGGACAACAUAGUUUAGGGUAGGUGCUCUCUAUGACCUUACUUGAAAUGAGCUUGCCAGUUUGGGGGCCACACUUGGUCCUCCCAGAUCAUUUAAACCCAUUUCCAUCCUAUGCUUCAGCCUUGCUUAUUACUCAGCACAAAGAGCUUCCUUCAUUCUCCUGAGAACCCACAGGUAUAAUAGAGGGUGUAGGGGGUAUUUGUA